Molecule: small RNA, 447 nt
Filed under: Pan troglodytes (chimpanzee)
Lineage: Eukaryota; Metazoa; Chordata; Mammalia; Primates; Hominidae
Description: sense intronic
Source: RNAcentral
UCUGUUUUUACAAUGGUGGGAUUUGUAUUCUUUCAUGCAAAAGUAGUGGCAGUAAAAGAAAAUGAAAAAGAAAAUAUUUCAAAAGAAUGAAGUUGUCAGGGAAGAGAGUUUGUCAUAUUGUAUUUGCAUACCAUUUCCUUUCACCAUCUGGUCCUAGUGUCAUGUCCUAACACUUCCUCAUCCCAUUUUCACUCUCUCCUACUCCAGUGGUUCUCAGUCUUGGCUGCAAAUCAGAACUGCAAGUGCAACUUAAAAAAAAAUAAUUAAUGUAGAGACUCCACCCCAGCUACACAUUGAAUCAGAAUCUCUAGGAGUUAGGCCUGAGCAUGUUUUGCUUUGCUUUUUUGUUUUGUUUUAAUCUCUAUGUAUGAUUUAGAUGCAUAAUUAAGUUUGAAAAAAUAAAAACACCCUAUUCCCAAGCCACUCAAAUAAAAGCUGUUCUUUGGA